RNAcentral lists this long non-coding RNA (717 nucleotides) under Homo sapiens (human). RNAcentral's name for it is "non-protein coding lnc-RPS18-3:1". Lineage: Eukaryota; Metazoa; Chordata; Mammalia; Primates; Hominidae. The record is from RNAcentral.
CAGAAUGUAGCACAGACAGAAGAUGGAAAAUUUUGAGAUAGUAGGAGAUACAGAAAUCUAAUUAAUGUAUCUAGGCACUGAAAUUGAUGGCUACUAACAUCACAAAGAGAGCCAAGAAGACAUUAUGUGCUUCCUGAUGGAAAUACAUACCACUACCUCUCAAAGAUAGCAGAGGAGUGACCAGAGGAAACAGUGCACUGGGCUUUAACAAUCUUUCCUACGUAGUAUGAAGCAGCAGCUGACCAAAAAGGACCAGAAGCAUUGAUGGCAGCUGGCGAGUCUCUAUACCUGGCAAAUCCAGUGACAAAUCCCAGCUGCUCUCAGCAGAAACAACUGGUUUAAGUGCAUCUUUGUGGGUGCCUUAAUCUCCUGCAAUGAUCCCGCCUCAGCCUCCCAAGCAGCUAGAACUACAAAUGCAUGCCACUACGCCUGGCUUUUUUUUUUUUUUUUUUUUUUUUUUAAAGAAAUGGGGUCUUAGCCGGGCAUGGUGGCUAACACCUGUAAUCCCAGCACUUUGGGAGGCCAAGGCGGGCAGAUGACGAGGUCAGAUCAAGACCAUCCUGGCUAACAUGGUGAAACCCCCCGUCUCUACUAAAAAUACAAAAUACAAAAAAAAUACCGGGCAUGGUGCUGGGCACCUGUAGUCUCAGCUACUCGGGAGGCUGAGGCAGGAAGAAUGGCAUGAACCCGGGAGGCGGAGCUUGCAGUGAGCUGAGA